CAAUAGCGUAUAUUAAAGUUGUUGCAGUUAAAAAGCUCGUAGUUGGAUUUCUGGUCGGAAGCUCCUGUCCUCUGAUGAGCGUACAAGUGCGUCCUACCAUCCUUCUGUUAACCUUUAAGGCUUUCGCGGCUUUCUAGGGGCUCAGAUAUUUUACCUUGAGAAAAUUAAAGUGUUUCAGGCAGGCUAGCGCCGGAAUACAUUAGCAUGGAAUAAUGGAAUAGGACUUUUGCCUCUUCUGUUGGUCAUGAGGCUCGAGUAAUGAUUAAUAGGGAUAGUUGGGGGCAUUAGUACUUAACUGUCAGAGGUGAAAUUCUCGGAUUUGUUAAAGACUAACUUAUGCGAAAGCAUUUGCCAAGGAUGUUUNCAUUAA
RNAcentral lists this ribosomal RNA (370 nucleotides) under uncultured eukaryote. Its description in RNAcentral is "partial 18S ribosomal RNA". It matches the Rfam family "Eukaryotic small subunit ribosomal RNA", at positions 592 to 976 of the family's 1831-position model. The record is from RNAcentral.